RNAcentral lists this ribosomal RNA (772 nucleotides) under Arthrobacter sp. 62ND6. Its description in RNAcentral is "bacterial SSU rRNA". It matches the Rfam family "Bacterial small subunit ribosomal RNA", at positions 73 to 850 of the family's 1533-position model. Lineage: Bacteria; Bacillati; Actinomycetota; Actinomycetes; Micrococcales; Micrococcaceae. The record is from RNAcentral.
UGCGGUCAGGCCUUGGAUUAGCCGGCCCACGGGCUGAGUAACACGCUGGAGCUAACCUGUCUCCUUAACUCUGGGAUAAGUCCUGGGAAACUGGGUCUAAUACCGGAUAUGACUCCUCAUCGCAUGGUGGGGGGUGGAAAGCUUUAUUGUGGUUUUGGAUGGACUCGCGGCCUAUCAGCUUGUUGGUGAGGUAAUGGCUCACCAAGGCGACGACGGGUAGCCGGCCUGAGAGGGUGACCGGCCACACUGGGACUGAGACACGGCCCAGACUCCUACGGGAGGCAGCAGUGGGGAAUAUUGCACAAUGGGCGCAAGCCUGAUGCAGCGACGCCGCGUGAGGGAUGACGGCCUUCGGGUUGUAAACCUCUUUCAGUAGGGAAGAAGCGAAAGUGACGGUACCUGCAGAAGAAGCGCCGGCUAACUACGUGCCAGCAGCCGCGGUAAUACGUAGGGCGCAAGCGUUAUCCGGAAUUAUUGGGCGUAAAGAGCUCGUAGGCGGUUUGUCGCGUCUGCCGUGAAAGUCCGGGGCUCAACUCCGGAUCUGCGGUGGGUACGGGCAGACUAGAGUGAUGUAGGGGAGACUGGAAUUCCUGGUGUAGCGGUGAAAUGCGCAGAUAUCAGGAGGAACACCGAUGGCGAAGGCAGGUCUCUGGGCAUUACUGACGCUGAGGAGCGAAAGCAUGGGGAGCGAACAGGAUUAGAUACCCUGGUAGUCCAUGCCGUAAACGUUGGGCACUAGGUGUGGGGGACAUUCCACGUUUUCCGCGCCGUA